This 32-nucleotide non-coding RNA is filed under the name unclassified sequences. RNAcentral describes it as "L31-Firmicutes ribosomal protein leader". It matches the Rfam family "L31-Firmicutes ribosomal protein leader". The record is from RNAcentral.
CUAUGGCAAAUUAUUUGUCAUGGCGGAAGGAG